This 308-nucleotide long non-coding RNA is filed under the name Homo sapiens (human). RNAcentral describes it as "non-protein coding lnc-DHX37-7:1". The record is from RNAcentral. Lineage: Eukaryota; Metazoa; Chordata; Mammalia; Primates; Hominidae.
AAAUUUUGCUCCUGUAAGGAUGCUACCUCUGCUAUUGAGACUGCAUGGUGUUGAAGACAGAAAGGGCAUGUUGAGCGGGGAACUUCAUUUCUGCCUGAUUCCUGCAUGUCUGGGGGAGACAGUGCAUCAGAGCCCCACUGUCCACAGAGAUGGGGUUUCACCACCUUGCCCACACUGGACUUGAACUCUUGGGCUCAAACAAUCCUCUCGCCUCAGCCUCCCAGAGUGUUGGGAUUACAGGCAUAAGCCACCAUGCCUGGCCAAAUUUAAGCAUUUUAAAGUGUAUGCUGCGAUGGCAUCAAAUGCAU